UGGGGAAUUUUGGACAAUGGGCGAAAGCCUGAUCCAGCAAUGCCGCGUGUGUGAAGAAGGCCCUCGGGUUGUAAAGCACUUUUGUCCGGAAAGAAAUCCUUGGCUCUAAUACAGUCGGGGGAUGACGGUACCGGAAGAAUAAGCACCGGCUAACUACGUGCCAGCAGCCGCGGUAAUACGUAGGGUGCAAGCGUUAAUCGGAAUUACUGGGCGUAAAGCGUGCGCAGGCGGUUUGCUAAGACCGAUGUGAAAUCCCCGGGCUCAACCUGGGAACUGCAUUGGUGACUGGCAGGCUAGAGUAUGGCAGAGGGGGGUAGAAUUCCACGUGUAGCAGUGAAAUGCGUAGAGAUGUGGAGGAAUACCGAUGGCGAAGGCAGCCCCCUGGGCCAAUACUGACGCUCAUGCACGAAAGCGUGGGGAGCAAACAGGAUUAGAUACCCUGGUAGUCCACGCCCUAAACGAUGUCAACUAGUUGUUGGGGAUUCAUUUCCUUAGUAACGUAGCUAACGCGUGAAGUUGACCGCCUGGGGAGUACGGUCGCAAGAUUAAAACUCAAAGGAAUUGACGGGGU
This 571-nucleotide ribosomal RNA is filed under the name uncultured bacterium. RNAcentral describes it as "partial 16S ribosomal RNA". It matches the Rfam family "Bacterial small subunit ribosomal RNA", at positions 355 to 919 of the family's 1533-position model. The record is from RNAcentral.